RNAcentral lists this long non-coding RNA (832 nucleotides) under Zonotrichia albicollis (white-throated sparrow). RNAcentral describes it as "lncRNA (ENSZALG00000009918.1)". Lineage: Eukaryota; Metazoa; Chordata; Aves; Passeriformes; Passerellidae. The record is from RNAcentral.
AAGAUUUGUUUUAACAGAUUAAUAUAAUAAAUAGACUUUGAGGUAGCUUUCAGAUGAAGGCAGAAUAUAUAGCAAAUUUAUCUCAGAUAUAAAAUUGCACCUUUCAUAUAUGUUGAAACUACCAUGAGUUUACUUAAUAAUCUGAGAGGUUUUGAACAGCUCAUUAAAAUUUCUCUCCUCCAUCUAUUUGAUUCAUUAUCUCAGAUAUGUCUCCAGCACUGACUACUUGGACUCCAUAUUACUUUGCACUUCUAAGCUACUGUGAUUCCAAUUCUACAGGAACAAGACUGAGACGCCUGCACAAAAAUAACGUGUGAGAUCUGCUAUGUAUCUCCAUCUAUGUAGAGGUAGAAAGUGAUACAGGUCCAGCAGAAGAAGACUGUGAGUGCUGGUGAUCACUCAUUCGUAUGGAAGUGCUGUUGGCAGCUCUGCAGAAGAGGCAGCCUAGUUUUGGAGAUUUUUUCCUCCUUUACCUGGGAUUUAGUGUUUUGAAUCAAAUCAGACUGCGCUACUUCUAUCAAUAUGCAUGCUGUACACUGAUCUUCAACGCAAAGACAAACACUUUCCAAGUGACCAGCUCACGCUGGAGCCACAGCCACCACUUCAGAGAGCAGAGGGAACAUGGAGUUAAACACCUGCUAAUUUAACUGGCUUCAGGAAGCUGAAGAAAAGACAGAGCAGAUAUAUGUAUUCAUCUACACAGCGCAGAGAAGUUUGAAGGCAAAGGCUGGACAACUGUGUGCCAUGGGAUGAAGGAAUAAUGAAACCUCAAGGCAGCUUUUUUUGAAGACUGUGGAGGCUUCCUAGAAUAAAAAGUGAUAUUAUUGCUUCA